Molecule: ribosomal RNA, 253 nt
Filed under: uncultured bacterium
Lineage: Bacteria
Description: partial 16S ribosomal RNA
Rfam family: Bacterial small subunit ribosomal RNA
Source: RNAcentral
UACGUAGGGGGCAAGCGUUGUUCGGAAUUACUGGGCGUAAAGCGUGCGCAGGCGGUGAUGUAAGACAGAUGUGAAAUCCCCGGGCUCAACCUGGGAACUGCAUUUGUGACUGCAUCGCUGGAGUGCGGCAGAGGGGGAUGGAAUUCCGCGUGUAGCAGUGAAAUGCGUAGAUAUGCGGAGGAACACCGAUGGCGAAGGCAAUCCCCUGGGCCUGCACUGACGCUCAUGCACGAAAGCGUGGGGAGCAAACAGG